Poecile atricapillus (Black-capped chickadee) is the source of this 447-nucleotide long non-coding RNA. RefSeq lists it as uncharacterized. The transcript has 3 exons. The record is from RefSeq and is a predicted model, not a curated record. NCBI's taxonomy places the organism in Eukaryota, Metazoa, Chordata, Aves, Passeriformes, Paridae.
GCGGCGCCUCAGGGCGGAGCGCGGCCUCCGGCAUCCCCGAAAAUCCCGGAUUUCCGCGCUUUUCCCUGGAAAAGUGGCUGUGACCCGGCCGGAAGCACCAGCUCGCCAGGAAAUGGCGCGAACAGGAGCAGCCCGGCACGGUGCAGAAAAAUAGAAAAUCUGCUGGCAAUGUAGUACAGAUGUAGGACUCCUGUCAGUUAUUGUCAGAGUUCAAACUUCAAAACAGGCAGGCACAGGCUCCUCGGGCUCCCCGUGAGGUUUUCCCCACUGCACAUCUCCAGUCACACUGCCAGGGUGGCACUUCCCCCUCCACUGCCCAUGGAGACAUCCCCAGGAUUACUCAACAGCUCUGGAAAUCACUUUAAUCUGAAGUCUGGCUUGUGAGGAAUUUGAAUUGUGAACAGUCACGAGAAGCAGUUUCGGGAUAGAAUUACUUUUGUUUCUUAC